AUAUAUAGUGUGUGUGUGUGUGUGAGGCUACUAUGCUUCUAGAAGCAUAGAGCCCUCCGUGCUUCCAGGUAGUUUUCGAUGUUGCGACCUUCGAAUCGUCGAUCGGCUCCGUUAAACAUGAUCUAGAGUAUUUGAAGUACCUAAAAAAUAAAUUUUAUGAUUUUUUGAUAUCAUUUGCCUAGUUAUCGAAGGGGUUCAAAAUCAAUAAUUUUAAUGACCGUAGUGAGCCGUUUGC
Molecule: long non-coding RNA, 235 nt
Filed under: Ananas comosus (pineapple)
Lineage: Eukaryota; Viridiplantae; Streptophyta; Magnoliopsida; Poales; Bromeliaceae
Description: long non-coding RNA (ACOM_LNC020520)
Source: RNAcentral